RNAcentral lists this ribosomal RNA (1052 nucleotides) under uncultured euryarchaeote. RNAcentral describes it as "bacterial SSU rRNA". It matches the Rfam family "Archaeal small subunit ribosomal RNA", at positions 349 to 1405 of the family's 1478-position model. Lineage: Archaea; Methanobacteriati; Methanobacteriota. The record is from RNAcentral.
UUUACAAUGUGCGAAAGCAUGAUAAGGGAACUCCGAGUGCCAGUAUCUAAUACUGGCUGUCUUGUGCUAAAACGCACAAGAUAGCAAGGGCCGGGUAAGACCGGUGCCAGCCGCCGCGGUAACACCGGGCGGCCCGAGUGGUAGCCGCUAUUAUUGGGUCUAAAGGGUCUGUAGCCGGUUCGAUAAGUCCUCUGGGAAAUCUGGUUGCUUAACAAUCAGACUGCCAAGGGAUACUGUCGAACUUGAGACCGGGAGAGGUAAGAGGUACUUCAGGGGUAGGAGUGAAAUCUUGUAAUCCCUGGGGGACCAUCUGUGGCGAAGGCGUCUUACCAGAACGGGUCUGACGGUGAGGGACGAAAGCUGGGGGCGCAAACCGGAUUAGAUACCCGGGUAGUCCCAGCCGUAAACGAUGCUCGCUAUGUGUCAGGUACGGUGUGACCGUAUCUGGUGCCGUAGGGAAGCCGUGAAGCGAGCCACCUGGGAAGUACGGUCGCAAGACUGAAACUUAAAGGAAUUGGCGGGGGAGCACUACAACGGGUGGAGCCUGCGGUUUAAUUGGAUUCAACGCCGGAAAUCUUACCGGGGGAGACAGCAGCAUGAAGGUCAGGCUGAAGACCUUACCAGAUCCGCUGAGAGGAAGUGCAUGGCCGUCGUCAGUUCGUACUGUGAAGCAUCCUGUUAAGUCAGGCAACGAGCGAGACCCGUGCCCACAGUUGCCAGCAUACCCUUCGGGGUGAUGGGUACUUUGUGGGGACCGCCGCUGCUAAAGCGGAGGAAGGAGCGGGUUACGGUAGGUCAGUAUGCUCCGAAACUCCCGGGCUACACGCGGGCUACAAUGGUUGGGACAAUGGGAAUCAACACCGAAAGGUGAAGGCAAUCUCCUAAACCCAAUCGAAGUCCGGAUUGAGGGCUGCAACUCGCCCUCAUGAAGCUGGAAUCCGUAGUAAUCGCGUUUCAACACAGCGCGGUGAAUACGUCCCUGCUCCUUGCACACACCGCCCGUCAGACCAUCUGAGUGAGGUUUGGAUGAGGGUCUUCCUUAUGGGGGAUCG